RNAcentral lists this ribosomal RNA (538 nucleotides) under Mesorhizobium sp. Its description in RNAcentral is "partial 23S ribosomal RNA". It matches the Rfam family "Bacterial large subunit ribosomal RNA", at positions 1950 to 2487 of the family's 2925-position model. Lineage: Bacteria; Pseudomonadati; Pseudomonadota; Alphaproteobacteria; Hyphomicrobiales; Phyllobacteriaceae. The record is from RNAcentral.
CCUAAGGUAGCGAAAUUCCUUGUCGGGUAAGUUCCGACCUGCACGAAUGGUGUAAUGAUGGCCAGGCUGUCUCCACCAGAGACUCAGUGAAAUUGAAAUUGCGGUGAAGAUGCCGUAUACCCGCGGCUAGACGGAAAGACCCCGUGAACCUUUACUAUAGCUUGGCACUGAACAUUGACCCUUGAUGUGUAGGAUAGGUGGGAGGCUUUGAAGCGUGGACGCCAGUCUGCGUGGAGCCAACCUUGAAAUACCACCCUUGUAUGUUUGAUGUUCUAACGUGGGCCCCUAAUCGGGGUUGCGGACAGUGUCUGGUGGGUAGUUUGACUGGGGCGGUCUCCUCCUAAAGAGUAACGGAGGAGCACGAAGGUUAGCUAAUCCUGGUCGGACAUCAGGAGGUUAGUGCAAUGGCAUAAGCUAGCUUGACUGCGAGCGUGACGGCGCGAGCAGGUGCGAAAGCAGGUCAUAGUGAUCCGGUGGUUCUGAAUGGAAGGGCCAUCGCUCAACGGAUAAAAGGUACUCCGGGGAUAACAGGCUGAUA